UAAUGGUGAGUGCCUUGACUCUCUGGUAGAUAAUCAUGGCCUUCUUGAGCAGGGCUGAGAGUGUAGAGCCCAGAAUGUUGGCAUCCAUGAUGCUUGUUCUAAACAUGGCAGAGACCCCUCAGGCAGGACAGAAGCAAACAGUGAAGAGGUGAGCUGAAGACUUGGAGCUGCCUCCCAGAGGCCGAGGCCCCCGACCUUUCUUCUACCAAUGGUGCUUUGUGAGAGGACCUUAGCCCCCUAAUCUUGUGGAGGUCACUAAUUGGAAAGAAACCAAUCUCCGUUGAAGGGAAAUCUCCGUUGAAUGAGGACUGGCAGAAGGCAGACAAGUGGGUCCCCCACCCAUAUUCUGGCUCUAAAACAGGGGGGCUUUUCUGUCCCAGAUGACCUCAGCAGCCUAACACAAAAGGAGAAAAGUUGCAUAUUGAGAUCCAAGCCCAGCCGAAGCCCAAUGGAGAAGAAACUUUUUCAGAACCUUCUGCACCUUAACUGUGUUUCAGAUGUUAUAGAAACUCCGGAGAGAGAUCCCAUGGUGGAGAUGGAGUGAGAUCGGGGGUCUAGGCUUUAUCCUAGCAGCCUGAGGUUCCAGCUGACAACUCUCUGAUGCAGAUGCCUCACUUUGGAUGAGACACACAACAGGAGCUGUGUGUCUCUGAGGGAAUCACGGGCGCUUGCCUCCUCCCCAUUCACACCGUCCCAAUCAUGCACUGGUGAUAUUAAUAAAGAUAAUUUAUGUCA
Long non-coding RNA from Suncus etruscus (white-toothed pygmy shrew), 735 nucleotides. RefSeq lists it as uncharacterized. The transcript has 2 exons. NCBI's taxonomy places the organism in Eukaryota, Metazoa, Chordata, Mammalia, Eulipotyphla, Soricidae. The record is from RefSeq and is a predicted model, not a curated record.